Molecule: ribosomal RNA, 481 nt
Filed under: uncultured bacterium
Lineage: Bacteria
Description: partial 16S ribosomal RNA
Rfam family: Bacterial small subunit ribosomal RNA
Source: RNAcentral
GAUGAACGCUGGCGGCGUGCCUAACACAUGCAAGUCGAGCGAAGCACUUACUUUAGAUUUCUUCGGAAUGAGGAAGAUUGUGACUGAGCGGCGGACGGGUGAGUAACGCGUGGGCAACCUGCCCUGUACAGGGGGAUAACAGACAGAAAUGACUGCUAAUCCCGCAGAAGCCCACAGCUUCGUUUGGAGCAGUGGGAAAAACUCCGGUGGUACAGGAUGGGCCCGCGUCGGAUUAGCUAGUCGGUACGGUCACGGCUUACCAAGGCGACGAUCCGGAGCCGACCGGGGAGGCGGCCCAGCCACAAUGGGACUGAGGCACGGCCCAAACUCCUACGGGAGGGUGGAGAGUGGAAUAUUACACUAGGGGGGAAACCCUGAUGAAGCGACGCCGCGUGAGCGAUGAAGUAUUUCGGUAUGUAAAGCUCUAUCAGCAGGGGAGAAAGUGACGGUACCUGACAAAGAAGCCCCGGCUAACUACGUG